AUUGAACGCUGGCGGCAGGCCUAACACAUGCAAGUCGAACGAGUGGCGGAAGGGUGAGUAAUGUCUGGGAAACUGCCCGAUGGAGGGGGAUAACUACUGGAAACGGUAGCUAAUACCGCCUACCAUCGGAUGUGCCCAGAUGGGAUUAGCUAGUAGGUGGGGUAACAGCUCACCUAGGCGACGAUCCCUAGCUGGUCUGAGAGGAUGAACAGCCCCGCUGGAACUGAUAAACGGCCCAGACUGCUAUGGGAGGCAGCAGUGGGUAAUAUUGGACAAUGGGCUCAAGCCUGAUGCAGACAGGCCGCGUGUAUGAAGAAGGACUUCGGGUUGUAAAGUACUUUCAGCGGGGAGGCGUUACUCGCAGAAGAAGCACCGGCUAACUACGUGCCAGCAGCCGCGGUAAUUC
RNAcentral lists this ribosomal RNA (406 nucleotides) under uncultured bacterium. RNAcentral's name for it is "partial 16S ribosomal RNA". It matches the Rfam family "Bacterial small subunit ribosomal RNA", at positions 30 to 526 of the family's 1533-position model. The record is from RNAcentral.